CAAUAGCGUAUAUUAAAGUUGUUGCGGUUAAAAAGCUCGUAGUUGGAUCUCGGCAGGCAGGGGGUGGUUCGCUCUUAGCGCUACUGCCCCAUUUGCCUGUGUGAUUGGCGGAGGUUUCGGGGUGCUCUUCGUUGAGUGACCCGGGGAGCCGUCAGGUUUACUUUGAAAAAAUUAGAGUGCUCAAAGCAGGCUUUUCACGCUUGAAUAUUCGUGCAUGGAAUAAUGGAAUAGGAACUCGUUUCUAUUUUGUUGGUUUUCGGAAAUCGAGUUAAUGAUUAAUAGGGACAAUUGGGGGCAUUAGUAUUCAGACGACAGAGGUGAAAUUCUUGGACCGUCUGAAGACUAACUACUGCGAAAGCAUUUGCCAAGAGUGUUUUCAUUAA
This 383-nucleotide ribosomal RNA is filed under the name uncultured eukaryote. RNAcentral's name for it is "partial 18S ribosomal RNA". It matches the Rfam family "Eukaryotic small subunit ribosomal RNA", at positions 592 to 976 of the family's 1831-position model. The record is from RNAcentral.